CCUACGGGAGGCAGCAGUAGGGAAUCUUGCACAAUGGGCGAAAGCCUGAUGGAGCCACGCCGCGUGGAUGAAGAAGGUCUUCGGGUCGUAAACCCCUGUUGUUAGAGAAGAAAGUGCGUGAGAGUAAAUGUUCACGUUUCGACGGUAUCUAACCACGAAGCUCCGGCUAACUCCGUUCCAGCAGCCGCGGUAAUACGUAGGUAGCAAGCGUUAUCCGGAUUUAUUGGGCGUAAAGGGUACACAGGCGGUCUGUUACGUCUGAUUGGAAAGCCUUGGGCUUAACCGGUGUAGUGCAUGGGAGACUGGGAGACUUGAGUGCAGAAGAGGAGAGUAGAACUCCAUGUGUAGAGGUGAAAUGCGUAGAGAUCUGGAAGAACACCAGUGGCGAAAGCGG
Molecule: ribosomal RNA, 394 nt
Filed under: uncultured bacterium
Lineage: Bacteria
Description: partial 16S ribosomal RNA
Rfam family: Bacterial small subunit ribosomal RNA
Source: RNAcentral